GGCGGCCGCGGGAAUCGAUUAGAGUUUGAUCAUGGCUCAGAUUGAACGCUGGCGGCAGGCCUAACACAUGCAAGUCGAGCGGAUGAAGGGAGCUUGCUCCUGGAUUUAGCGGCGGACGGGUGAGUAAAGCCUAGGAAUCUGCCUGGUAGUGGGGGACAACGACUCGAAAGGGUCGCUAAUACCGCAUACGUCCUACGGGAGAAAGUGGGGGAUCUUCGGACCUCACGCUAUCAGAUGAGCCUAGGUCGGAUUAGCUAGUAGGUGAGGUAAUGGCUCACCUAGGCGACGAUCCGUAACUGGUCUGAGAGGAUGAUCAGUCACACUGGAACUGAGACACGGUCCAGACUCCUACGGGAGGCAGCAGUGGGGAAUAUUGGACAAUGGGCGAAAGCCUGAUCCAGCCAUGCCGCGUGUGUGAAGAAGGUCUUCGGAUUGUAAAGCACUUUAAGUUGGGAGGAAGGGUUGUAGUUUAAUACGCUGCAACUUUGACGUUACCAACAGAAUAAGCACCGGCUAACUCUGUGCCAGCAGCCGCGGUAAUACAGAGGGUGCAAGCGUUAAUCGGAAUUACUGGG
Molecule: ribosomal RNA, 575 nt
Filed under: Pseudomonas sp. enrichment culture clone MS1-43
Lineage: Bacteria; Pseudomonadati; Pseudomonadota; Gammaproteobacteria; Pseudomonadales; Pseudomonadaceae
Description: partial 16S ribosomal RNA
Rfam family: Bacterial small subunit ribosomal RNA
Source: RNAcentral